AAAAAUCGCGCGAGAAAAUGAGAAGUUGACAGAAAAAGAUUUUUUUCAUUAUCGAAAGGGACAUGUACAACAUCCAUAAUGGUGUGUCUGAUGGAAUUUGUCAUUUCAUUAAUAAAUAAUGCUGAUAAAGAUGCAAACUUAGCAAUUGUGCCUAAAAAGUGACAGCUUUGACAAAGAAAUAUAUCCAUAUAUAACAGUUACUGGUACUGUAUGAAUGCAGUGAAAGGAUCCAGAUGAACAAAUGAAGAGAUUAAGUACAAUGUACAUCAAUUACUUGGAUGAAGAGAAUCUGCAACAUGGGGAAAUAAUGUUCCUAUAGAAAAGUCAAAGAAUGUAUACAUGUGAGAUUCUGAAGUAGCCGUACAUGAUGAGUAGGAAUUUGAAGUGAAUUAUGGGAAAAGUGAAAUGGUAAAAAAGAAACUGCUAGCGCUACUGUGCAGACUACCAUCAAUCAACAUGAUCAACAAAAUCAAGUAAUCCUUCUGAAGAUGGAGUAGUACACAAGCACAAUUUUUUAAAGAAAGAAAAGUCAAUGGAAUGAAGAAAAGGUGAAGUGAAUUGUCACUCAUUAUAUUUUAAAUUUAAUGUGGACAUGGUCAUUAUUUUAGUUAUGUCAUAACCUUCUUAUCAAUUUUAAGCAGUGCAGACAGAUGCAUUUCUUAUUGCUUUGAAUAGAAUAAAUUAUCAAAAAAGUUUGUAUAUGUUUUUUGAUGUAGAAUUUAUAUUAAAAAAAAAAUUAUCAAUUACUGCAGUUUUGAAUUUCAGUACACUAGAAAUUUUUCUGCCCUGUCAUGAAUAUGGCUGGGGCAUAUAGAGUUUGUUAUGUCCGUCUUCCGUCCUUUCAACCUUCUGUCUGUCCUUCCAUUCCGCUUUGCUUUUAGCUCAGUUCAAAACUAAGUUUCAAAGAAACUAUUCAAGAUAUUUUUAUCAAUCUUCAUAUGCUGAUACAUAUUGAUAAGAGGUAUUCAAUUUCAUCAACGUACCUUGACCUUUCCUUUAACUUUGACCUCACUUUUCUUAAAUUAGUGUUUAGCUCAGUUUUAAAGAAACAAUUCAAGAUAGUGUAAUCAAACUUCAUAUGCUGAUACAUACUGAAUCAACAUUUUUUUACCUUGACCUUUCCUUUGACCUUGACCGUACUUAUCUUAAAUAAGUGUUUAGCUCAGUUUUAAAGAAACCAUUCAGGAUAGCGUAAUCAAACUUCAUUUGCUGAUACAUACUGAUGAGAGCUAUUCAACUGCAUCAACAUUUUUUGAUCUUGAUUUUUCCUUUGACCUUCACCUCACUUUUUCUAAAUUAGUGUCAAACUUCAUAUUCUGAUACAGACUGAUGUAAGGUAUUUGACUGUAUCAACAUUUUUGACCUUGACAUUUCAUUUGACCUUGACUUCAUUUUUCUUGAAAUGGUGAUUAGCUCAGUGUUUAUUAAACGGUUUCCAUUCAAAAUAUUUUUAUCAAACUUAUUUUGCUUAUGCGUAUUAGUGAGAACUAUUCAACUGCAUCAAAAAUGUAUGACCUUGAACUUUCCUGUGACCUGGACCUCACUUUUCUUAAAUUUGCAUUUUGCUUAGUUUUAAAGAAACCAUUAAAUAUAAUUUUAUGUGAGCUUAUGCACUUAACAGAAUUUGGUGGGAAUUUAUCAUCUAUAUCCAACUUUUUCGAUUUCAAUGUUAAAGAAACUAUUUUAAGAUAUUCUCAUCAAAUUUCAUACACUAAAAAUAUUUUUAUGUUGCAUUACUAAUAUGCCCACAUGGUGCAGUGGUUAAAGCUCUAGAGUUGCGGAGUAAGGAGUUGAUCCUUAUGUCGCUGGUUCGAAUCCAACUGUGGGACGUGGAGACUGUAUAAACCGAGGUCACAUGU
Long non-coding RNA from Saccostrea echinata, 1859 nucleotides. RefSeq lists it as uncharacterized. The transcript is spliced from 5 exons. The record is from RefSeq and is a predicted model, not a curated record. NCBI's taxonomy places the organism in Eukaryota, Metazoa, Mollusca, Bivalvia, Ostreida, Ostreidae.